This 224-nucleotide unclassified non-coding RNA is filed under the name Hevea brasiliensis (rubber tree). The record is from RNAcentral. Lineage: Eukaryota; Viridiplantae; Streptophyta; Magnoliopsida; Malpighiales; Euphorbiaceae.
GCAAGUUUUUCUAUUAGCUUAUAUGCCUUUUAACCCCGAAAAGGUUGGAUUCUUGCAAAAAAACAACAAUCCCAGAUUUGUGAAGAGAGAAAUCUGGAAGAAUACCAGUAGGAGGCACCAAUUUGGUUCUUCAAUUUAGUCCCUCUGAAUUCCUUCUGUUAUGACCUUCAACGUUAAUGGGGCUCUUUUGAUAGUCUAUUGAUCUCGUUCUGUUAUGACCUUCA